GGGUACUCGAGCGGCGAACGGGUGAGUAACACGUGAGCAACCUGCCCUAGGCUUUGGGAUAACCCCGGGAAACCGGGGCUAAUACCGGAUAGGACCUGGCAUCGCAUGGUGUUGGGUGGAAAGUUUUUCGGCCUGGGAUGGGCUCGCGGCCUAUCAGCUUGUUGGUGGGGUGAUGGCCUACCAAGGCGACGACGGGUAGCCGGCCUGAGAGGGCGACCGGCCACACUGGGACUGAGACACGGCCCAGACUCCUACGGGAGGCAGCAGUGGGGAAUAUUGCACAAUGGGCGGAAGCCUGAUGCAGCACGCCGCGUGAGGGAUGACGGCCUUCGGGUUGUAAACCUCUUUCAGCAGGGACGAAGCGCAAGUGACGGUACCUGCAGAAGAAGCGCCGGCCAACUACGUGCCAGCAGCCGCGGUAAGACGUAGGGCGCGAGCGUUGUCCGGAUUUAUUGGGCGUAAAGAGCUCGUAGGCGGCUUGUCGCGUCGACUGUGAAAACCCGUGGCUCAACUGCGGGCCUGCAGUCGAUACGGGCAGGCUAGAGUUCGGUAGGGGAGACUGGAAUUCCUGGUGUAGCGGUGAAAUGCGCAGAUAUCAGGAGGAACACCGGUGGCGAAGGCGGGUCUCUGGGCCGAUACUGACGCUGAGGAGCGAAAGCGUGGGGAGCGAACAGGAUUA
This 679-nucleotide ribosomal RNA is filed under the name Micromonospora sp. YIM 78187. RNAcentral's name for it is "bacterial SSU rRNA". It matches the Rfam family "Bacterial small subunit ribosomal RNA", at positions 85 to 780 of the family's 1533-position model. Lineage: Bacteria; Bacillati; Actinomycetota; Actinomycetes; Micromonosporales; Micromonosporaceae. The record is from RNAcentral.